AUGGGAGAACUCACUGUUUCCGGAGAUCGGUUUUCGGAAUUUCCCCAAGUCGACGGUAGGAGGCCGGUCAGGUUUCUGCGGGGCCGGCCCCAGGGUGAAAGGAGCAGGCCGGGCUUCCCCGCCACGGGAGGCUUGGGAGAUCCGAACUUCGGAAGGAUGGCCGGCCCCGGGGGAGAACCGUUACCACCCGGAUUGGCGAAGACAUUCAUCCUGGCCUGGAGUCCGGCGGCUGGUGGGGUCGGCCCCGCCACCCUGAAAGGUCGGUUGCUUCCCGGGGCAUCUUCCGUGGGGUUCCCCCCUGUGUUGAACUUCGCCAUGAGGGAUUUCACAUCGGUCUUGCCAUCCUGCGUGCACCAACGGGGAACAAAAAAAACGGCCGAAAGUGAGAAGCUUCGCUUGAACUACGCGUACGGACACAAAAAAUGCUGUACUGUAAAGGGUUUCCUGGUUUGAGGCUGACGGCGCAGCCGAUUGGUUAGAAAGAUAUUGUAACAUUUAUCUUCCUGUAUGGCAAAAGAAGUCUUGUGCAAAGUUUUUUUUUUUCUUUCUUCUAGAUGAUGUGUUGCUUUCAGUGCCAUUCCUAUUAAAUAAAAUUGCUCAUAAAGCUUUGCUGUGUUCUUGUGGAACUGCUUUCUGCAGGUAGGUUUUCUUCAGACGGGGGUUUUUUCCUCUCUCUCUCAGCCCUCUCUCCCAACAAUUUAAAAAGAGAUUCCUCCUGGUUCUGCAAUCGGGACUUCUCUAAAUAGGAACUAGCUUUUUCGUUUUGUUUGCUUCGUUUGUUUUAAAACCUAAAUCCAAGACUCCCAGACAAAAUGUGUGUGGCCCAAUGCUUUGACAAUUCACAACUCUCUCUGCUGUCAGGGGGAUAUCUUGCUUCUCAAACUUCCCCUUCUAUUUUGGUUUGAGCCCUGGCUGCUAGUUUCCAAAAGACUUCAGGGGUUGUUAACAAGGCAGGAAAUAAAAGCUACUGUUAGAAAAAAGCAGAAAAAUGUCAUUUUUCUAUUUGCUGUGGGAAAAGCGGAACGUGUGGUAGUGACUCACAAUUUUCACUGUUAAAAUUUACACAGUCAUUGAGGAGACUUUUGCAUGCACAAUGGAAGGGCAAUUUGCCAGGAAGUGGAGACUUUUCACGUGGCAGAAAAGGUGAAGGCUAAGAGAUCUCUCUAAUGGUUCUUCAGUGGAGAUGUUUGAGAUUUUCCAAUAUGUAAGAAUAAAGAGAAGCAACGUGGCUUAGUGGAUAGAGCAUGGCCCUGGGAGUCAGAAAGACCUGGGUUCAAAUUCCGGCUCCGCUCCUUGUCUGCUGUGUGACCUUGGACAAGUCUAUUCACUUCUCUAGGGCUCAGUUACCCCAUUUGUAUAAUGGGGAUUAAGAGUGUGAGCCCCAUUUGGGGCGGGAACUUUGUCCAACCUGACUGAUGACUUUGUCCUACCUGAUUUGCAUCUAUUCUUGUGUUUAGAACAGUGCUUGGCACAUAAGGGCUUAACAAGUACCAAAAUUAUUAUUAAAAUCAUGAUUGAUAAUCUCGGGGUUAUCCACCUGAAUCCUAUUCAUUAAGCCUGUCUCUAAUGUGUGGGGCACUGCACAGAGCAAUAAGCCAUGAUCCAUGCACUCAUGUUUUACAUUCAUGUAUAUCCUUCCAGGAAGAGGAAAAAAAAUGCAGCUGGAGAACUUCCUUGGCAUCUUAAAGACCAGUGUGAGACUCAGAAGUUUGCAGAUACAACUUCUAGAGUUGCCACACACCUUAAGGAAAAAGAAAGACUUAAAUUGUCCCGACUGUGGAGUAUGUGGAAAUGUGCUUGUUCUCCAAAUCCCUAAGAAGCAAUAUUAUCUUUUGAUAACAACAGCAAGUCAUACUCUCAAAAUAAGAUACAGAAAUAGGCGUUAGACUAUUUCUGGCUCUUUUUUUUUUUUUAAGCAUGGCCUAGUGUAGAAGUAGCAUGGCCUAGUGGAUAGAGCACGAGCUUGGGAGUCAGAAGGACAUGGGUUCUGCUUCUGGCUCUGCCACUUGCCCGCUAUAUGACCUUGGGCAGUUCACUCUUUGUCUGCUCAGCUGUAUAUAUUUCCAUUACCCUAUUUAUUUUGUUAAUGAGAUGUACAUCACCUUGAUUCUAUUUAUUUGCUAUUGUUUUAAUGAGAUGUUCAUCCCCUUGAUUCUCUUUAUUGCUAUUGUUCUCGUCUCUCUGUUUCCCCCGAUUAGACUGUAAGCCCGUCAGAGGGCAGGGACUGUCUCUGUUACCAAUUUGUACAUUCCAAGCGUUUAGUACAGUGCUCUGCACAUAGUAAGC
Molecule: long non-coding RNA, 2286 nt
Filed under: Ornithorhynchus anatinus (platypus)
Lineage: Eukaryota; Metazoa; Chordata; Mammalia; Monotremata; Ornithorhynchidae
Description: lncRNA (ENSOANG00000037453.1)
Source: RNAcentral